CUACGGGCUGCAGCAGUGGGGAAUCUUAGACAAUGGGGGAAACCCUGAUCUAGCCAUGCCGCGUGAUCGAUGAAGGCCUUAGGGUUGUAAAGAUCUUUCAGGUGGGAAGAUAAUGACUGUACCACCGGAAGAAGCCCCGGCUAACUCCGUGCCAGCAGCCGCGGUAAUACGGAGGGGGCUAGCGUUAUUCGGAAUUACUGGGCGUAAAGCGCACGUAGGCGGACCAGAAAGUCAGGGGUGAAAGCCCGGGGCUCAACCCCGGAACUGCCUUUGAAACUCCUGGUCUUGAGGUCGAGAGAGGUGAGUGGAAUUCCGAGUGUAGAGGUGAAAUUCGUAGAUAUUCGGAGGAACACCAGUGGCGAAGGCGGCUCACUGGCUCGAUACUGACGCUGAGGUGCGAAAGCGUGGGGAGCAAACAGGAUUAGAUACCCCGGUAGUC
RNAcentral lists this ribosomal RNA (439 nucleotides) under uncultured bacterium. RNAcentral describes it as "partial 16S ribosomal RNA". It matches the Rfam family "Bacterial small subunit ribosomal RNA", at positions 339 to 795 of the family's 1533-position model. The record is from RNAcentral.